RNAcentral lists this long non-coding RNA (2132 nucleotides) under Gopherus evgoodei (Goodes thornscrub tortoise). RNAcentral's name for it is "lncRNA (ENSGEVG00005001941.1)". Lineage: Eukaryota; Metazoa; Chordata; Testudines; Testudinidae. The record is from RNAcentral.
CUUCACUCAGCACUUGAAGAAGGUGGCUCUGAAGGGUGAGUAUCCUCUGAACUGGGGUGUGGGAGAGGUGGAUUACAGCUGGCUUAGCAUUGGGACUGGGGACAAUACAGCUCUGUGCCACCAGCGGGGAGAGAGAAUAAUGGAUGUGAAGGGGGGGUGGGGGCGAGGAGUCUGGACUACUGGGUUCUGUCCCUAAAACUGGUAGGAGAGUGGGAUCUAGUGGGUUAGAGCAGGGGGGUUGGGAACUAGGACUCCUGGGUUCUAUCCCCAGUUAUGGGAGGGGCCAAGCUGGGCCCUCAUUCUCCCUCUGCCCUUCCAGGGAAGAAAAUGAAUCUAGAUGGCUCCUUCUCCCUGUGGGGGCUCCUGGGCUCAGUGGACCUAGCCCGCUAUUACCGCUACCAGGGUUCCCUCACCACCCCCAACUGUGACGAAGUCGUGGUCUGGACUGUCUUCCCUGACCCCAUCCUGGUGCCUCCUGGCGUGACUCAGCUGAUAAGCUGCAGAACAACUACCAGCCUCUACAGAGCCUUGGGGAUCACCAAGUGGAGGCCUCGGCGGCCCUCCGAGUCACCCCCAGUUCCUCUUCCACCCCGCGGGCUGCAGUGUUGAUCCCUCUACUCAUCAGUAUCAUGGUAAUCACCUGGCAGCUAUAAGGGGACAGAGCCAGACACCUAGAGGCUGGGCCUAAGCAGGGGGGGUGCUGGGAGCCAGGACUCCUGGGUUCUAUUCCUGGUUCAGCCACAGACUCCCUAUGUGACUGUCAUCAAGUGCCAUCCCUGCUCUGGGCCUCAGUUUCCCCAUCUAUAAAAUAGGGAUAGAUUUUUCUCCACAAUCCUGGAGAUCAACAUUGAUCACAGUCCUCUUUGAGACUGUGUGGGAAUGCACCCUUCAACUAACCUAUCUCAGGAGGAAUGGAUUGCAAGCCCCACGCUGCCAGGAGUUUGGACUGAGUGGGCAGAGGGGGGGUGACGUUGGACUCCAUAUGCUUUUUAAAAGUAUGCUUAUGAAUGUAAAUAUGAUGUAACGGGAAUACGCUUUAUGCAAAAGGUCUCCUGUAAGGUAUCAUUACAAAGCUUAUAAUCUACUGAGUGUGGUCAUCCUAUUUGGAUGAAUGUAUCAUUCUUGUAUCUGAAGUUAGAAAUAUGAAGUAUAACUCUGAGGUCCUAUUGUAAUUAUGCAAAAUGUGCGCCAUUGAUGGUGGUUUAGAAUCUUGAUGGCUCCGGUUGUCAGAAGUCAUGGGUGUGGUGCUUUGCUCUGUUCAGUGUUGAUAACAGUCGGUUGUGUGCGAAUCUUGAUGCCUCCCAUUGACUAGGACAAUUGAUUGUAAGAUGUUUAUUUACCUGCAAGCCUUCCUGUGUACAUAUGGGCCAGCCCUUGGGUAAUGAAGAAUGAGGUCCUACAGGACAUGUGACUAUGUCACAUGAUACUUAAAUCUGAUACUUUCCCAUUUAGACAUAGGGGUGGGGACCCAGAGAGACAAAAGGUUCCCGCCUUGUGCCAAAGCUAUAAAAGGGGGUGGAACAGGACAAAGAAGGCCAGUUAUGAGAACACCCGUGUUUACCGCCUAAGGCCUCGUCCAGACUAGGGGAGGAAAAUCGAUCUUAGAUACGCAACUUCAGCUACGUGAAUAACGUAGCUGAAGUCGAAUAUCUAAGAUCAAAUUACUCACCCAUCCAGACGGCGCGGGAUCGAUGUCCGCGGCUCUCCGUGUCAAUUCCGGAACUCCGUUCGGGUUGAUGGAGUUCCGGAAUCGAUGUAAGCGCGCUCGGGGAUCAAUAUAUGGCGUCUAGACUAGACGCGAUAUAUCGAUCCCCGAGCAAUCGAUUUUAACCCGCCCAUACGGCGGGUUAGUCUGGACGUGGGCUAAGGCUGCCAGUCAUGAGAAAACUCCUGUUUACCACUUGAGAUGUCUGCUGGAACUAACAAGGACUGUACUGGGGGGAAGGAUUGGGCUCAGACCAGGAAGGAGUCUAGUCUGUGCAGUAAGCUUUUUGGAACAUCUCUGAGGGUGAAAUAUUACCUGUAAUCAGUUUCUUAAUGUAUUAGGCUUAGACUUGCGUGUUUUUGCUUUAUUUUGCUUGAUGACUUAACUUUGUUCUGCCUGUUACUACUUGAAACCACUUAAAUCCUAC